RNAcentral lists this ribosomal RNA (440 nucleotides) under uncultured bacterium. RNAcentral's name for it is "bacterial SSU rRNA". It matches the Rfam family "Bacterial small subunit ribosomal RNA", at positions 340 to 773 of the family's 1533-position model. The record is from RNAcentral.
UACGGGAGGCAGCAGUGGGGAAUAUUGCACAAUGGGCGCAAGCCUGAUGCAGCCAUGCCGCGUGUAUGAAGAAGGCCUUCGGGUUGUAAAGUACUUUCAGUCGUGAGGAAGGUGUUAAGGUUAAUAACCUUAGCAAUUGACGUUAGCGACAGAAGAAGCACCGGCUAACUCCGUGCCAGCAGCCGCGGUAAUACGGAGGGUGCGAGCGUUAAUCGGAAUUACUGGGCGUAAAGGGCACGCAGGCGGUUAAUUAAGUUGGAUGUGAAAUCCCCGGGCUUAACCUGGGAAUGGCAUUCAAGACUGGUUAGCUAGAGUCUUGUAGAGGGGGUAGAAUUCCGAUGUGUAGCGGUGAAAUGCGUAGAGAUGUGGAGGAAUACCGGCGGCGAAGGCGGCCCCUGGACAAAGACUGACGCUCAUGUGCGAAAGCGUGGGGAGCAAAC